Long non-coding RNA from Felis catus (domestic cat), 604 nucleotides. RefSeq lists it as uncharacterized. NCBI's taxonomy places the organism in Eukaryota, Metazoa, Chordata, Mammalia, Carnivora, Felidae. The record is from RefSeq and is a predicted model, not a curated record. The transcript is spliced from 3 exons.
GGAGGCUGUAAAGAAAAUCUGUCAGAUGUAGUCUAGAAAAAUGAACAGAUCCAAAAGGGUUUAGAUGAGUUCAUGGACUGAUGGUUUUAUAAUGGGAUUAUUUAAGGAAGUUGAGAGUUUUAGGGUCUAUCCAUAACCUUUUGAGAGCUAUGUCAUUCAGGGCAGCGACUCCCAGCAGUGCUGUAGAGCCAUCUCAUUGGACAUUAGUAAGACCAUUGACCCUAACAUAUUCCAAAGUGCUAAUUCCUCUUUCCCCUAUGCAUCUCUCAGGGCCAAGAAUGUAGGCAUGAAUUUAAGAUGGCAGAGGCUGAAGCUAUGCCUUCAAGUUGGAAUUGGACCUGUGCAUCUGGUGGGUUUUACCAGCUGAAGGAGUGAUUUCAUCAUCAUGCUAUUUUAGUUUAAGGGAGAAGGCGACUUUUUGGCAAAUACUGCAUCUUCAGCCAGGAGAAGUUGGCUGAGUACAAAAGAGCUUUUGAAGCGAACUCACUCUCUAGGAAAGGAAGAUGGAUAAAGGCCAAUAAAUGAACACAGACUUAAGUGUAUACAUAACUUCAAGUAGUGGUAAGUCAUACGAAGAAAAAUUGAACAAGGUAAGUGAAUAGAU